AGAUGGCGACCGGCGCACGGGUGAGUAACACGUAUCCAACCUGCCGAUAACUCGGGGAUAGCCUUUCGAAAGAAAGAUUAAUACCCGAUGGUAUAAUCAGACCGCAUGGUCUUGUUAUUAAAGAAUUUCGGUUAUCGAUGGGGAUGCGUUCCAUUAGGCAGUUGGUGAGGUAACGGCUCACCAAACCUUCGAUGGAUAGGGGUCUGAGAGGAAGGUCCCCCACAUUGGAACUGAGACACGGUCCAA
This 246-nucleotide ribosomal RNA is filed under the name uncultured bacterium. Its description in RNAcentral is "partial 16S ribosomal RNA". It matches the Rfam family "Bacterial small subunit ribosomal RNA", at positions 86 to 334 of the family's 1533-position model. The record is from RNAcentral.